RNAcentral lists this ribosomal RNA (502 nucleotides) under uncultured Bacteroidota bacterium. Its description in RNAcentral is "bacterial SSU rRNA". It matches the Rfam family "Bacterial small subunit ribosomal RNA", at positions 224 to 723 of the family's 1533-position model. Lineage: Bacteria; Pseudomonadati; Bacteroidota. The record is from RNAcentral.
GAUGAGCAUGCGUCCCAUUAGCUAGUUGGUAAGGUAACGGCUUACCAAGGCUACGAUGGGUAGGGGUCCUGAGAGGGAGAUCCCCCACACUGGUACUGAGGCACGGACCAGACUCCUACGGGAGGCAGCAGUGAGGAAUAUUGGUCAAUGGACGCAAGUCUGAACCAGCCAUGCCGCGUGCAGGAUGACGGUCCUAUGGAUUGUAAACUGCUUUUGCACAGGAAGAAACAACGCUACGUGUAGCGUCUUGACGGUACUGUGAGAAUAAGGAUCGGCUAACUCCGUGCCAGCAGCCGCGGUAAUACGGAGGAUCCAAGCGUUAUCCGGAAUCAUUGGGUUUAAAGGGUCCGUAGGCGGUUUAGUAAGUCAGUGGUGAAAGCCCAUCGCUCAACGGUGGAACGGCCAUUGAUACUGCUAAACUUGAAUUAUUAGGAAGUAACUAGAAUAUGUAGUGUAGCGGUGAAAUGCUUAGAGAUUACAUGGAAUACCAAUUGCGAAGGCA